GACGAACCGUGCGAACGUUGUUCGGAAUCACUGGGCUUAAAGGGCGCGUAGGCGGGCCAGCAAGUCAGGGGUGAAAGCCCACGGCUCAACCGUGGAAGAGCCUUUGAUACUGCCGGCCUCGAGGGAGGUAGGGGCGUGCGGAACUUCCGGUGGAGCGGUGAAAUGCGUAGAUAUCGGAAGGAACAUCGGUGGCGAAAGCGGCGCGCUGGACCUCUUCUGACGCUGAGGCGCGAAAGCCAGGGGAGCGAACGGG
RNAcentral lists this ribosomal RNA (253 nucleotides) under uncultured bacterium. Its description in RNAcentral is "partial 16S ribosomal RNA". It matches the Rfam family "Bacterial small subunit ribosomal RNA", at positions 524 to 776 of the family's 1533-position model. The record is from RNAcentral.